RNAcentral lists this ribosomal RNA (253 nucleotides) under uncultured bacterium. RNAcentral describes it as "partial 16S ribosomal RNA". It matches the Rfam family "Bacterial small subunit ribosomal RNA", at positions 524 to 776 of the family's 1533-position model. The record is from RNAcentral.
GACAGAGGGUGCAAACGUUGUUCGGAAUUACUGGGCGUAAAGCGCGUGUAGGCGGCUAUGCAAGUCGGAUGUGAAAGCCCUCGGCUCAACCGGGGAAGUGCAUCCGAAACUGGCCGGCUUGAGUACGGAAGAGGGUCUCGGAAUUCCCGGUGUAGAGGUGAAAUUCGUAGAUAUCGGGAGGAACACCAGUGGCGAAGGCGGAGACCUGGGCCGAUACUGACGCUGAGGUGCGAAAGCGUGGGGAGCAAACAGG